AGCAGUCGCCGCGGUAAUACGUAGGGCGCAAGCGUUAUCCGGAAUUAUUGGGCGUAAAGAGCUCGUAGGCGGUUUGUCGCGUCUGCCGUGAAAGUCCGGGGCUCAACCCCGGAUCUGCGGUGGGUACGGGCAGACUAGAGUGAUGUAGGGGAGACUGGAAUUCCUGGUGUAGCGGUGAAAUGCGCAGAUAUCAGGAGGAACACCGAUGGCGAAGGCAGGUCUCUGGGCAUUAACUGACGCUGAGGAGCGAAAGCAUGGGGAGCGAACAGGAUUAGAUACCCCUGUAGUCCCUGUCUCUUAUAC
Molecule: ribosomal RNA, 303 nt
Filed under: uncultured bacterium
Lineage: Bacteria
Description: partial 16S ribosomal RNA
Rfam family: Bacterial small subunit ribosomal RNA
Source: RNAcentral